UACGUAGGUGGCAAGCGUUGUCCGGAUUUACUGGGCGUAAAGAGCGUGCAGGCGGUCGUUCAAGUCGCGUGUGAAAGCCCCCGGCUCAACUGGGGAGGGUCACGCGAUACUGAUCGACUCGAAGGCAGGAGAGGGUAGUGGAAUUCCCGGUGUAGUGGUGAAAUGCGUAGAUAUCGGGAGGAACACCAGUGGCGAAGGCGGCUUCCUGGCCUGUUCUUGACGCUGAGGCGCGAAAGCUAGGGGAGCAAACGGG
Molecule: ribosomal RNA, 253 nt
Filed under: uncultured bacterium
Lineage: Bacteria
Description: partial 16S ribosomal RNA
Rfam family: Bacterial small subunit ribosomal RNA
Source: RNAcentral